AGUUUGAUCAUGGCUCAGGAUGAACGCUAGCGGCAGGCUUAAUACAUGCAAGUCGAGGGGCAGCAUGUCCCGCAGCAAUGCGGGAUGAUGGCGACCGGCAAACGGGUGCGGAACACGUACACAACCUUCCUUAAGUGGGGAAUAGGCCAGGGAAACUUGGGUUAAUACCCCGUAACAUAUAGAAGUGGCAUCACUUUUACAUUAUAGCUCCGGCGCUUGAAGAUGGGUGUGCGGCUGAUUAGGUAGUUGGCGGGGUAACGGCCCACCAAGCCGACGAUCAGUAACUGGUGUGAGAGCACGACCAGUCACACGGGCACUGAGACACGGGCCCGACUCCUACGGGAGGCAGCAGUAAGGAAUAUUGGUCAAUGGACGCAAGUCUGAACCAGCCAUGCCGCGUGGAGGGUGAAGGUCCUCUGGAUUGUAAACUUCUUUUAUUUGGGAAGAAACCCAUCUUUUCUUGGAUGGUUGACGGUACCAGAUGAAUAAGCACCGGCUAACUCCGUGCCAGCAGCCGCGGUAAUACGGAGGGUGCAAGCGUUAUCCGGAUUCACUGGGUUUAAAGGGUGCGUAGGUGGGCAGGUAAGUCAGUGGUGAAAUCUCCGGGCUUAACCCGGAAACUGCCAUUGAUACUAUUUGUCUUGAAUACUGUGGAGGUCGG
RNAcentral lists this ribosomal RNA (661 nucleotides) under uncultured bacterium. Its description in RNAcentral is "bacterial SSU rRNA". It matches the Rfam family "Bacterial small subunit ribosomal RNA", at positions 10 to 661 of the family's 1533-position model. The record is from RNAcentral.